GUAAGGAGUUUUCGGCAAUGGGGGGAACCCUGACCGAGCAACGCCGCGUGAGUGAUGACGGCCCUAUGGGUUGUAAAGCUCUGUUAUAAGGGACGAACAGCUUUGCUAGGAAAUGAGCAGAGUCUGACGGUACUUUAUCAGAAAGCCACGGCUAACUACGUGCCAGCAGCCGCGGUAAUACGUAGGUGGCAAGCGUUAUCCGGAAUUAUUGGGCGUAAAGAGUGAGCAGGCGGCAGAUUAAGUUUGAGGUUAAAGCGUGGGGCUCAACCCCAUAAAGCCUUGAAAACUGAUCAGCUAGAGUACGAGAGAUGUGAAGGGAACUCCAUGUGUAGCGGUGAAAUGCGUAGAUAUAUGGAAGAACACCAGUGGCGAAGGCGCUUCACAAGCUCGAAACUGACGCUCAGUCACGAAAGCGUGGGUAGCAAAUAGGAUUAGAAACCCGAGUAGUCC
RNAcentral lists this ribosomal RNA (450 nucleotides) under uncultured bacterium. RNAcentral describes it as "partial 16S ribosomal RNA". It matches the Rfam family "Bacterial small subunit ribosomal RNA", at positions 354 to 796 of the family's 1533-position model. The record is from RNAcentral.